This 744-nucleotide long non-coding RNA is filed under the name Drosophila guanche. The record is from RNAcentral. Lineage: Eukaryota; Metazoa; Arthropoda; Insecta; Diptera; Drosophilidae.
GCGAACGGAAGCGGCUGUACCGCGGCUUGGACAAUCAUGAGCGCAAUCUGUCCUCCUCGUCCUCGUCGCCGGCGUCGGUAGCUAGGCAGGACAGUGCCAUAACCAUCACAAGUUCAUCACAGUCCAGUGGGACCACCCAAAUGGUCGUCUCGCCCGACGAUCCCCGCCCGACCCCCAGUGACGUGGCGGCAGAUGUACGGAAUUGGGUGUAUUUACCUAGUUAUUAUCACUCUGAUGAUUUUACAAGCUCUGAUAUGAGCCUUAACGCAGUGAACGGUACUCGGCUGCCUAACAUACAGCCAAUACCCAGGCGUCGAGAGACGGUAAUCCUAAAUAAGAAAGCCAUGGAUAUAUAUCUGGCAGGGACUACAGGCGGGUAAUAAUAAUAAUAAUAUAAACCCACUAAUAAUUAUGUAAUUAGAUUUCAACAUCUAAAUAAAAACAUAUCUAUUUUCUAGAACUUUCAAAUUCUGCUUAUCAGACUAAAUCGGAGCACCCAGACACUGUGUGGGAGAGAGAGAGUGCAAUAUGUUUACGAGUUCAUGUGUGUGGUUGCUGGGCCCGAAAGAAAAGGAGAAAUAGACAGAAGAAACAAGGAAAGGCAACGCGGAAUGGAAAAAUAACACUGUUCGACAAAAUCGACAAAAACUUCUUCGAAAAAUUUUUAAAUGGGUAUUCUUUUGUAACGUUUUUGUUUUAGAGGUUUGAACAACUAAAUAUAAAUUAAAAUAUAUUAAUAUUGGG